CGUAUCACCCAAGACAACUUUACGGAGUUGACGAUUGACGGAGCGAAGCGACGUCAAAGCGUUCAUUAAAGUCGAGUUGGCUUAGGGAUACGUUCGUUGGGUAGGGGAGCGUUCUGUAAGCCUGUGAAGGUGGCCUGUGAGGGUUGCUGGAGGUAUCAGAAGUGCGAAUGCUGACAUAAGUAACGAUAAAGCGGGUGAAAAGCCCGCUCGCCGGAAGACCAAGGGUUCCUGUCCAACGUUAAUCGGGGCAGGGUGAGUCGACCCCUAAGGCGAGGCCGAAAGGCGUAGUCGAUGGGAAACGGGUUAAUAUUCCCGUACUUGGUGUUACUGCGAAGGGGGGACGGAGAAGGCUAUGUUGGCCGGGCGACGGUUGUCCCGGUUUAAGCGUGUAGGCUGGUUUUCCAGGCAAAUCCGGAAAAUCAAGGCUGAGGCGUGACGACGAGGCACUACGGUGCUGAAGCAACAAAUGCCCUGCUUCCAGGAAAAGCCUCUAAGCAUCAGGUAACAUCAAAUCGUACCCCAAACCGACACAGGUGGUCGGGUAGAGAAUACCAAGGCGCUUGAGAGAACUCGGGUGAAGGAACUAGGCAAAAUGGUGCCGUAACUUCGGGAGAAGGCACGCUGACACGUAGGUGAAGUGAUUUACUCAUGGAGCUGAAGUCAGUCGAAGAUACCAGCUGGCUGCAACUGUUUAUUAAAAACACAGCACUGUGCAAACACGUAAGUGGACGUAUACGGUGUGACGCCUGCCCGGUGCCGGAAGGUUAAUUGAUGGGGUCAGCGCAAGCGAAGCUCCUGAUAGAAGCCCCGGUAAACGGCGGCCGUAACUAUAACGGUCCUAAGGUAGCGAAAUUCCUUGUCGGGUAAGUUCCGACCUGCACGAAUGGCGUAAUGAUGGCCAGGCUGUCUCCACCCGAGACUCAGUGAAAUUGAACUCGCUGUGAAGAUGCAGUGUACCCGCGGCAAGACGGAAAGACCCCGUGAACCUUUACUAUAGCUUGACACUGAACAUUGAGCCUUGAUGUGUAGGAUAGGUGGGAGGCUUUGAAGCGUGGACGCCAGUCUGCGUGGAGCCGACCUUGAAAUACCACCCUUUAAUGUUUGAUGUUCUAACGUGGACCCGU
This 1124-nucleotide ribosomal RNA is filed under the name Salmonella enterica. RNAcentral describes it as "partial 23S ribosomal RNA". It matches the Rfam family "Bacterial large subunit ribosomal RNA", at positions 1154 to 2236 of the family's 2925-position model. Lineage: Bacteria; Pseudomonadati; Pseudomonadota; Gammaproteobacteria; Enterobacterales; Enterobacteriaceae. RNAcentral also lists the same sequence under 2 other names. The record is from RNAcentral.